This is an RNA transcript of Hevea brasiliensis (rubber tree), 1361 nucleotides long. It is a transcript of the gene named protein POOR HOMOLOGOUS SYNAPSIS 1, with no coding region annotated. The record is from RefSeq and is a predicted model, not a curated record. NCBI's taxonomy places the organism in Eukaryota, Viridiplantae, Streptophyta, Magnoliopsida, Malpighiales, Euphorbiaceae. The transcript has 7 exons.
AUUUCAGUGCUAGACUGCUGGCAGCAGUAGUGUAGUACUACUUUUCACCGAGGCCAAGCCCCCAAACACAGAGAGAUAAACGAGAACACCAUGCGGAAGUGACAAGCCGGGAGAGGAGAAGGAAACGAGACUCAAAUGGCGGGAAGUGAGCAGCCUCAAAACCCAAACGAAGCAGCUCCUGAACCCAUGAAUAAAGGCCUGUGGCAGAUUCACUACUCUUGCUUCUUCAGCUUUCCUUUUUUCCCCUCAACUUGUCACAUCCUUAAGCCUCUUACUUCCAGUUGCAUCAACAGAAACCCUUGUGGCAGAUGGGUCUCUUAUUCUUCAAUGGCCUUUCUGCAUCUCAUAAGUGAUUACCGCGUUCGUGGGGUCGUCCUUAUUGUCUCAUUUCACGGGAUAGUCUAUGAAGAACACCAGAUUUCCAAUCUGGUUUUCUCUUGGCCUCAGGUUUCAUGUCUGGAGGAACGCCCAGUUAGAGGUAGCAUAGUUGUAUUUUCAAGUUACAGAGAUAGCUUAGGGCAGGUUCAAAAGUUUGCCAUGUACUUUUCAUCAUCUUCUGACUCACAAACAUUCAUAAACUCUUUAAAGGUACCUGUUGAGAUAUUGAGCAAUGUGAAUCCUAAUGGGAAUUAUGAACCUAUAGCACAGCUCAUAUCAGGUCAUGAAAGCAUAAAACAUAUAUGUUCCAAGGAACCAAUGCUUGCUCAUGGCUUGGAUGCCACUUGUGCUUCCUUACCUCCAAGCUUCAUAGCUCUUCUCUUUGACUCUUGCCCCCAGGCAGAAGAAGAACCACUAAAACAACCUGAUUCAUUUUAUCUGAACACCCAAUAUGUUGAGGAAACUAGAGAUGGUCAUUGGUGAACUGGGAGGAGACUUGGCACUGUGAUGACCAAUGGUUUUGCAGCAACAGCGGAAGUUAAACUCUUAUCAUCUCUCAUCCUUGAGCCUGCCACUUAAUGUAUGAACACCAGUUUUUCCUUAGAACCUCUCAUAUGCUGCAAUCUGACCCACAUGGAACAAUUGUAGAGGAAGCCUGCAGGCGUGCAAAAAUAUCAGCCUCACAAGCAAAAGAAGAUGAAUAUGCAGAAGAGAAGAGGAAGUAGAUGAGAUGUACACAAUUGUAAAAUAACAAAAAAAAAGAAAAAGGUGCUCGUUAAGAGAUAUUUUAGUAAAUGGCUGAAUGAAACCAGAGACUGCAGUGCAGAGUGUAGAGGCAGUAGGACAUGCCCAUAGCUGCUUUUCUUGGUCUAAAUCCCAAACCAGAAUAAGACAAUAUUAUACUGAAAGAAGGGGGAUUGCUGUUUACAUGUUAAACUGUCUUCUUGCAAAAUUAAAUAAAUUUUAAUCAUUAGUUUGCUAGA